This 71-nucleotide transfer RNA is filed under the name Parcubacteria bacterium C7867-004. RNAcentral's name for it is "tRNA-His". It matches the Rfam family "tRNA". Rfam says of the family: Transfer RNA (tRNA) molecules are approximately 80 nucleotides in length. Their secondary structure includes four short double-helical elements and three loops (D, anti-codon, and T loops). RNAcentral also lists the same sequence under 1 other name. Lineage: Bacteria; Candidatus Parcubacteria. The record is from RNAcentral.
GCGGCUAUAGUUUAGUGGUAAAACUCGGGUUUGUGGUACCCGCAUCGAGAGUCCGAUUCUCUCUAGCCGCC